GACGAACCGUGCAAACGUUAUUCGGAAUUACUGGGCGUAAAGGGCGCGUAGGCGGCCUUCUAAGUCAGACGUGAAAUCCCCCGGCUUAACCUGGGAACUGCGUCUGAUACUGGGAGGCUUGAGUAUGGGAGAGGGAUGUAGAAUUCCAGGUGUAGCGGUGAAAUGCGUAGAUAUCUGGAGGAAUACCGGUGGCGAAGGCGGCAUCCUGGACCAUAACUGACGCUGAGGCGCGAAAGCUAGGGGAGCAAACGGG
Molecule: ribosomal RNA, 253 nt
Filed under: uncultured bacterium
Lineage: Bacteria
Description: partial 16S ribosomal RNA
Rfam family: Bacterial small subunit ribosomal RNA
Source: RNAcentral